This is a long non-coding RNA of Syngnathus acus (greater pipefish), 205 nucleotides long. RefSeq lists it as uncharacterized. Lineage: Eukaryota; Metazoa; Chordata; Actinopteri; Syngnathiformes; Syngnathidae. The transcript is spliced from 2 exons. The record is from RefSeq and is a predicted model, not a curated record.
CCUCCUCCAUCUAACGCUUGCUGGCGCUGCUGAUUGGUCGUUCGCGAAGAUUCACGAGUGACUGACAGACAUGACAGACAGCAUUGCUGCUAUGCCAUUGCCACCCGACACACGUGAUGCCGACAUAGAUAUUUUAAUUUUGUAUUUGUUGGCUUGUAGUUGAUGGUGUUAUUAUACCGAAUGUGUUUGUGUUUGAAUAAAAGGU